AAACUAACAAGGAUUCCCCUAGUAGCGGCGAGCGAAGCGGGAAGAGCUCAAAUUUGUAAUCUGGCGCUUUCAGCGUCCGAGUUGUAAUCUCUAGAAAUGUUUUCCGCGUUGGACCGCACACAAGUCUGUUGGAAUACAGCGGCACAGUGGUGAGACCCCCGUUCAUGGUGCGGAUGCCCAAUGCUUUGUGAUACAUUUUCGAAGAGUCGAGUUGUUUGG
RNAcentral lists this ribosomal RNA (219 nucleotides) under Stephanopyxis turris. RNAcentral describes it as "partial Eukaryotic large subunit ribosomal RNA". It matches the Rfam family "Eukaryotic large subunit ribosomal RNA", at positions 62 to 277 of the family's 3401-position model. Lineage: Eukaryota; Bacillariophyta; Melosirophyceae; Stephanopyxales; Stephanopyxidaceae. The record is from RNAcentral.